AACGCAUCUUGCACCUUUGGGUAUUCCCAAAGGUAUGUCUGUCUGAGUGUCAUUUGAACUCUCAAAGCCCCUUUCCUUUCACCAGGUCUGGAUGCUUUGGAUCAUGGGUGCUUGCUGACUUUGUCUGCUCACCUCAAAUCGAAUGUGGCGGUUUUCUCUAAAAGCCUAUUGUGGGUUUGACCCGGAGUGAUAGAAGUCUUUCGAGAUCUCUGGGAACACCAGCUGGUGACCUGCUGAGGUGGGAGGAAUUGCCUAAUUGGACUCAUUUGACGUUUUUGACCUCAGAUCAGGCAGGAUUACCCGCUGAACUUAA
This 313-nucleotide unclassified non-coding RNA is filed under the name uncultured fungus. RNAcentral's name for it is "sequence contains ITS2". The stretch from base 1 to 52 matches the Rfam family "5.8S ribosomal RNA", at positions 103 to 154 of the family's 154-position model. Lineage: Eukaryota; Fungi. The record is from RNAcentral.